GUGCUUACUUCAUCAUCAUGUAUACUAAAAUUGGCAUGAUACAGAGAAGAUCAGCAUGGCCCCUUUGCAAAGAUGAAAUGCAAAUUAGUGAUAUAUUUAUAUAUAUAU
Molecule: small nuclear RNA, 108 nt
Organism: Monodelphis domestica (gray short-tailed opossum)
Lineage: Eukaryota; Metazoa; Chordata; Mammalia; Didelphimorphia; Didelphidae
Source: Ensembl